GUUGAUCGGGGUCCGUAGUGUGCCACGCUGAGUGAUGGAGUGCGUAAGCCGGUGGAAAUCCGGCGCGGUCGCGCCACUGUGAGCCCGGGUUCUCGGACCCGGGCAAGCCAGACACCACGCCAUCACCUGCC
This 131-nucleotide non-coding RNA is filed under the name Kutzneria sp. Lineage: Bacteria; Bacillati; Actinomycetota; Actinomycetes; Pseudonocardiales; Pseudonocardiaceae. The record is from RNAcentral.